UUCGGGAAACCGGAGCUAAUACCGAUAAUAUAUUGAACCGCAUGGUUCAAUGGUGAAAGACGGUUUUGCUGUCACUUAUAGAUGGAUCCGCGCCGCAUUAGCUAGUUGGUAAGGUAACGGCCUACCAAGGCAACGAUGCGUAGCCGACCUGAGAGGGUGAUCGGCCACACUGGAACUGAGACACGGUCCAGACUCCUACGGGAGGCAGCAGCG
RNAcentral lists this ribosomal RNA (213 nucleotides) under uncultured Staphylococcus sp. RNAcentral describes it as "partial 16S ribosomal RNA". It matches the Rfam family "Bacterial small subunit ribosomal RNA", at positions 148 to 356 of the family's 1533-position model. Lineage: Bacteria; Bacillati; Bacillota; Bacilli; Caryophanales; Staphylococcaceae. The record is from RNAcentral.